AGUGAACGCUGGCGGUAGGCCUAACACAUGCAAGUCGAACGGCAGCACAGGAGAGCUUGCUCUCUGGGUGGCGAGUGGCGGACGGGUGAGGAAUACAUCGGAAUCUACUUUUUCGUGGGGGAUAACGUAGGGAAACUUACGCUAAUACCGCAUACGACCUACGGGUGAAAGCAGGGGACCUUCGGGCCUUGCGCGAUUGAAUGAGCCGAUGUCGGAUUAGCUAGUUGGCGGGGUAAAGGCCCACCAAGGCGACGAUCCGUAGCUGGUCUGAGAGGAUGAUCGGCCACACUGGAACUGAGACACGGGCCAGACUCCUACGGGAGGCAGCAGUGGGGAAUAUUGGACAAGGGGCGCAAGCCUGAUCCAGCCAUACCGCGUGGGUGAAGAAGGCCUUCGGGUUGUAAAGCCCUUUUGUUGGGAAAGAAAUCCAGCUGGCUAAUACCCGGUUGGGAUGACGGUACCCAAAGAAUAAGCACCGGCUAACUUCGUGCCAGCCGCCGCCGUAA
Molecule: ribosomal RNA, 506 nt
Filed under: uncultured bacterium
Lineage: Bacteria
Description: partial 16S ribosomal RNA
Rfam family: Bacterial small subunit ribosomal RNA
Source: RNAcentral